UUCGUCAUAGCAAAGUGAUUACCGCACCAGAGUCAAAAUCUGUUCCUCUUGGAUCCGACUACGUAGGUUCGAAACCUGCCGACGAAA
This is a non-coding RNA of Suillus subalutaceus, 87 nucleotides long. The record is from the annotation of a RefSeq genome assembly. Lineage: Eukaryota; Fungi; Basidiomycota; Agaricomycetes; Boletales; Suillaceae.